Molecule: small RNA, 84 nt
Filed under: Lacticaseibacillus paracasei
Lineage: Bacteria; Bacillati; Bacillota; Bacilli; Lactobacillales; Lactobacillaceae
Description: Lactobacillus paracasei mraW
Source: RNAcentral
GAAACCAAAGCAUAAGUGGCCCCGAACCUAAACGGCAGGGCUUUGGUCGUUUAGGUUCGGGGUCCUUAUGCGUAGGUUUCUGGG